GACGAACGCUGGCGGCGUGCUUAACACAUGCAAGUCGAGCGGUAAGGCCCUUUCGGGGGUACACGAGCGGCGAACGGGUGAGUAACACGUGGGUGACCUGCCCUCAGCUCUGGGAUAAGCCUGGGAAACCGGGUCUAAUACCGGAUAUGGCUCCAUGACGCAUGUUGUGGGGUGGAAAGCCUUGUGCGGCUGAGGAUGGGCCCGCGGCCUAUCAGCUUGUUGGUGGGGUGANGGCCUACCAAGGCGACGACGGGUAGCCGGCCUGAGAGGGCGACCGGCCACACUGGGACUGAGACACGGCCCAGACUCCUACGGGAGGCAGCAGUGGGGAAUCUUGCGCAAUGGGCGAAAGCCUGACGCAGCGACGCCGCGUGAGGGAUGACGGCCUCGGCGUGUAA
Molecule: ribosomal RNA, 398 nt
Filed under: uncultured bacterium
Lineage: Bacteria
Description: bacterial SSU rRNA
Rfam family: Bacterial small subunit ribosomal RNA
Source: RNAcentral